This 289-nucleotide ribosomal RNA is filed under the name uncultured bacterium. RNAcentral describes it as "partial 16S ribosomal RNA". It matches the Rfam family "Bacterial small subunit ribosomal RNA", at positions 773 to 1060 of the family's 1533-position model. The record is from RNAcentral.
GUGGAUUAGAUAGCCCAGUAGUCCUAGCCGUAAACGAUGGGCACUAGGUGUUGGAGGUAUCGACCCCUCCAGUGCCGCAGCUAACGCAUUAAGUGCCCCGCCUGGGGAGUACGGUCGCAAGACUAAAACUCAAAGGAAUUGACGGGGGCCCGCACAAGCGGUGGAGCAUGUGGUUUAAUUCGACGCAACGCGAAGAACCUUACCUGGGCUUGACAUCCCCUGAAGGUGCUGAAAACAGUACCGUCUCUUCGGAGACAGGGUGACAGGUGCUGCACGGCUGUCGACAACU